Molecule: ribosomal RNA, 846 nt
Filed under: Pseudomonas sp.
Lineage: Bacteria; Pseudomonadati; Pseudomonadota; Gammaproteobacteria; Pseudomonadales; Pseudomonadaceae
Description: bacterial SSU rRNA
Rfam family: Bacterial small subunit ribosomal RNA
Source: RNAcentral
CUCAGAUUUGACGCUGGCGGCAGGCCUAACACAUGCAAGUCGAGCGGAUGACGGGAGCUUGCUCCUGGAUUCAGCGGCGGACGGGUGAGUAAUGCCUAGGAAUCUGCCUGGUAGUGGGGGACAACGUUUCGAAAGGAACGCUAAUACCGCAUACGUCCUACGGGAGAAAGCAGGGGACCUUCGGGCCUUGCGCUAUCAGAUGAGCCUAGGUCGGAUUAGCUUGUUGGUGAGGUAAUGGCUCACCAAGGCGACGAUCCGUAACUGGUCUGAGAGGAUGAUCAGUCACACUGGAACUGAGACACGGUCCAGACUCCUACGGGAGGCAGCAGUGGGGAAUAUUGGACAAUGGGCGAAAGCCUGAUCCAGCCAUGCCGCGUGUGUGAAGAAGGUCUUCGGAUUGUAAAGCACUUUAAGUUGGGAGGAAGGGUUGUAGAUUAAUACUCUGCAAUUUUGACGUUACCGACAGAAUAAGCACCGGCUAACUCUGUGCCAGCAGCCGCGGUAAUACAGAGGGUGCAAGCGUUAAUCGGAAUUACUGGGCGUAAAGCGCGCGUAGGUGGUUUGUUAAGUUGGAUGUGAAAGCCCCGGGCUCAACCUGGGAACUGCAUCCAAAACUGGCAAGCUAGAGUACGGUAGAGGGUGGUGGAAUUUCCUGUGUAGCGGUGAAAUGCGUAGAUAUAGGAAGGAACACCAGUGGCGAAGGCGACCACCUGGACUGAUACUGACACUGAGGUGCGAAAGCGUGGGGAGCAAACAGGAUUAGAUACCCUGGUAGUCCACGCCGUAAACGAUGUCAACUAGCCGUUGGAAUCCUUGAGAUUUUAGUGGCGCAGCUAACGCAUUAAG